AGUCGAGCGAUAUAGCGGCAGACGAGAGAGUAAUAGUAAGGAACUUACCCCCGAGUGAAGGAUAGCUAGCCGAAAGGUUAGGUAAUCCUGCAUAAUAUCGAAAGAUCAAAGCCUUCGGGCGCUUGGGGAGAGGCCUUACGCCUAUCAGCUUGUUGGUGAGGUAAUGGCUCACCAAGGCGAUGACGGGUAGCUGGUCUGAGAGGAUGAUCAGCCUCGAUGGGACUGAGACACGGCCCAUACUCCUACGGGAGGCAGCAAUAAGGGAUUUUGCACAAUGGAGGAAACUCUGAUGCAGUGACACUGCGUGAAGGAAGAAGGUUUUCGGAUCGUAAACUUCUUUUAGUGGGGAGUAAUCUUGAAAGUACCCACUGAAUAAGGACCGGCUAACUACGUGCCAGCAGCCGCGGUAAUACGUAGGGUCCGAACGUUAUCCGGAAUUAUUGGGCGUAAAGAGUUCGUAGGUGGUUUUGUAAGUUGGGUAUUAAAUCUAUCGGCUCAACCGAUAAACUGUACUCAAUACUGCAAGACUUUGUGGUUUGCAGGGGCAGAUGGAAUUCAUGGUGUAGCAGUGGAAUGCGUAGAUAUCAUGAAGAACACCAAUGGCGAAGGCAGUUUGCUAGGCUUUCCAGACACUGAGGAACGAAAGCGUGGGUAGCGAACGGGAUUAGAUACCCCGGUAGUCCACGCUGUAAACGAUGCACACUAGGCAUUUGGAGUAUCGACCCUUCGAGUGCCGAAGCUAACGCGUUAAGUGUGCCGCCUGGGUAGUACGGCCGCAAGGCUAAAACUCAAAGGAAUUGACGGGGACCCGCACAAGCGGUGGAACAUGAGGUUUAAUUCGAUGC
This 845-nucleotide ribosomal RNA is filed under the name uncultured bacterium. RNAcentral's name for it is "bacterial SSU rRNA". It matches the Rfam family "Bacterial small subunit ribosomal RNA", at positions 60 to 957 of the family's 1533-position model. The record is from RNAcentral.